ACCACCCACGGGGGAGAGACCGCCCGAGAAACACCGGCGGCGCCGAAGGGGCAUAUCCUCCCCGGAACCUCUCAGGCAAAAGGACCUCGUGGGCAGG
This 97-nucleotide non-coding RNA is filed under the name Micromonospora yangpuensis. RNAcentral's name for it is "Glycine sequence". It matches the Rfam family "Glycine riboswitch aptamer". From Rfam's summary of the family: This family represents the bacterial glycine riboswitch. Glycine riboswitches usually consist of two metabolite-binding aptamers domains with similar structures in tandem. The record is from Rfam by way of RNAcentral. Lineage: Bacteria; Bacillati; Actinomycetota; Actinomycetes; Micromonosporales; Micromonosporaceae.